Molecule: ribosomal RNA, 253 nt
Filed under: uncultured bacterium
Lineage: Bacteria
Description: partial 16S ribosomal RNA
Rfam family: Bacterial small subunit ribosomal RNA
Source: RNAcentral
UACGGGGGGGGCAAGCGUUGUUCGGAAUUACUGGGCGUAAAGGGCGCGUAGGCGGCUUCAUAAGUCAGGGGUGAAAUCCGGCAGCUUAACUGUCGCAGUGCCUUUGAUACUGUGGAGCUCGAGGGAGGUAGGGGUCUGUGGAACUUCCGGUGGAGCGGUGAAAUGCGUUGAUAUCGGAAGGAACGCCGGUGGCGAAAGCGACGGACUGGAUCUCUUCUGACGCUGAGGCGCGAAAGCCAGGGGAGCAAACGGG